RNAcentral lists this ribosomal RNA (547 nucleotides) under uncultured bacterium. RNAcentral's name for it is "bacterial SSU rRNA". It matches the Rfam family "Bacterial small subunit ribosomal RNA", at positions 355 to 897 of the family's 1533-position model. The record is from RNAcentral.
UGAGGAAUUUUGGACAAUGGGGGAAACCCUGAUCCAGCGACGCCGCGUGAAGGAUGAAGGUCUUCGGAUUGUAAACUUCUUUUAUUCGGGAAUAAGAAACCUAUGGAAACAUAGGGAGUGAAUGUACCGAAUGAAUAAGCCACGGCUAACUUCGUGCCAGCAGCCGCGGUAAUACGAAGGUGGCAAGCGUUACUCGGAAUUACUAGGCGUAAAGGGCAGGUAGGUGGUUUGAUAAGUCUGUUGUGAAAGCUCCCGGCUUAACUGGGAGAGGUCAACAGAGACUAUCAGGCUUGAGUAUAGGAGAGGGUACUGGAAUUCCCGGUGUAGCAGUGAAAUGCGCAGAGAUCGGGAGGAACACCUAUGGCGAAAGCAGGUGCCUGGACUAUUACUGACACUCAGCUGCGAAAGCUAGGGGAGCAAACAGGAUUAGAUACCCUGGUAGUCCAAGCCGUAAACGAUGCACAUUAGACGUGAGGGGUAUCGACCCCCUUCGUGUCGACGCAAACGCAUUAAAUGUGCCGCCUGGGGAGUACGGCCGCAAGGUUGC